GACGAACGCUGGCGGCGUGCCUAAUACAUGCAAGUAGAACGCUGAAGGAGGAGCUUGCUCUUCUGGAUGAGUUGCGAACGGGUGAGUAACGCGUAGGUAACCUGCCUGGUAGCGGGGGAUAACUAUUGGAAACGAUAGCUAAUACCGCAUAACAUUGACUAUUGCAUGAUAGUCAAUUAAAAGGUGCAAAUGCACCACUACCAGAUGGACCUGCGUUGUAUUAGCUAGUUGGUGGGGUAACGGCUCACCAAGGCGACGAUACAUAGCCGACCUGAGAGGGUGAUCGGCCACACUGGGACUGAGACACGGCCCAGACUCCUACGGGAGGCAGCAGUAGGGAAUCUUCGGCAAUGGACGGAAGUCUGACCGAGCAACGCCGCGUGAGUGAAGAAGGUUUUCGGAUCGUAAAGCUCUGUUGUAAGAGAAGAACGAGUGUGAGAGUGGAAAGUUCACACUGUGACGGUAGCUGACCAGAAAGGGACGGCUAACUACGUG
Molecule: ribosomal RNA, 495 nt
Filed under: uncultured bacterium
Lineage: Bacteria
Description: partial 16S ribosomal RNA
Rfam family: Bacterial small subunit ribosomal RNA
Source: RNAcentral